Molecule: ribosomal RNA, 497 nt
Filed under: uncultured bacterium
Lineage: Bacteria
Description: partial 16S ribosomal RNA
Rfam family: Bacterial small subunit ribosomal RNA
Source: RNAcentral
GAUGAACGCUGGCGGCGUGCCUAAUACAUGCAAGUCGAGCGAACAGACGAGGAGCUUGCUCCUCUGACGUUAGCGGCGGACGGGUGAGUAACACGUGGAUAACCUACCUAUAAGACUGGGAUAACUUCGGGAAACCGGAGCUAAUACCGGAUAAUAUAUUGAACCGCAUGGUUCAAUAGUGAAAGACGGUUUUGCUGUCACUUCUAGAUGGAUCCGCGCCGCAUUAGCUAGUUGGUAAGGUAACGGCUUACCAAGGCAACGAUGCGUAGCCGACCUGAGAGAGUGAUCGGCCACACUGGAACUGAGACACGGUCCAGACUCCUACGGGAGGCAGCAGUAGGGAAUCUUCCGCAAUGGUCGAAAGCCUGACGGAGCAACGCCGCGUGAGUGAUGAAGGUCUUCGGAUCGUAAAACUCUGUUAUUAGGGAAGAACAAAUGUGUAAGUAACUAUGCACGUCUUGACGGUACCUAAUCAGAAAGCCACGGCUAACUACGUG